Mauremys reevesii (Reeves's turtle) is the source of this 1814-nucleotide long non-coding RNA. RefSeq lists it as uncharacterized. Lineage: Eukaryota; Metazoa; Chordata; Testudines; Geoemydidae. The record is from RefSeq and is a predicted model, not a curated record. The transcript is spliced from 5 exons.
CUAGAAACAGAGGUAUAGCAUCAGAAGAGCUGAUCUGCCACCCAAUCCACAGUCAAGACCCAAUACAACUCCUACAGAAUUCAAUGGCAAAUUUCCAGUACCUUCAACGGGAGUAGCAUCAUGCCCUGCGAAGGUGGAGGCUAAAAGCCUUUGAACAGGCUUAAGGAAACAGAGAACCAGACACACAUCUUAGAUAAAAUCAGCAUAGCUUCAGUGCAGCUAUCCUAUCUGAAGAUCUGACCUAUAGUCAUCUAGGUCCCAUUUUAUUCAGAAGAGGAACUGAAUGCAGUAUUUGACCUCCGGCACUCUGAGGACAUGCCAAAUAGGUCUGAAACAAUCAAAAUGUUUUAAACAGAACAUGAUUCACAGUGCAGCUCUGUUUGGGUGUCCAGUUACAGCAGCACCUGACUUACGUUUCUGUAUGUUCCAGGAGGGCUAAAGGGCUUCAGCAGUUUUCUGACCACUGUGACUAUCUCCUUCUUCCCUGGACAGAACAGAACCGCCGCUUGAAGUUCUAUAUUCAAUCUCCUGCCUCCUUCAGGACCAGUGCUAUCACAUCACCGCCUGAUUGUACUGUCAGAGUAGGGACAAUACAAUCAUUGGCUUCACUGAAAGCUUAGCCUGAGAAGGUACUGCAGGAGUGAGCAUGUCACAUCUGAAACGGUAUGUAACAGAAGUGACUUACAAUAGAAAGCAUUUCACUCUUCUGUGGUCCAGACAUAAUCCUCUGGAGUUAUGCCUACUAUAGACAGAGCGUAUUUGGUACCUUGCAAGAUCAGGCCCUCAGUUUGGAGAGAGGAGCUAUUGCAGCAGGUCAAUGGAACUACUUGCAUAAGUGCUCCACAACACGAGCCAGGGUUCUGCAAUCAGCCCCUCUAGUUUACAUCAGCCUGCAGAUGAGAAAACUUUCUGAGGGGUCCAGACCUGCAAGGUGCUGAAUGCCCGGAAAUCUCAUUGACUUCAGCAUGCCUUAGUGGUCAGGAUUCAGGACUGGGACCAGAGAAGGUCUAUUCUAAGCUCUGCUGGUGACCUUGGGUCAGUCACUUCACCCCUCUGUGUUGUCUCUUUGGAUUAAAGCUUUUGGGGGACAGCGUUGUCUCUGUUUACAGAGUGUUCAGCACACUGGGGCCUCUAGUCACUAGUCUUAUAUCAACUAACAGAAUCCUAGUGAUGACUAUAGUUAUUACUAAAAUGUUUUAGAGAACCACCUUACACGCAUACACAGCCCCGUGUGCAUUUUUAUGUAAUUUAAUCAUUUUUCUUAUGUUAUCCUAACAUGGCGCUGCAGUCCAGACAGCAGGGGGUGUGAAUUGUAGAGCACUGUAACAUGUCCCAAGGGAACCCCCCCACCUCUGGCACAUUAACUUUUUUAACCAGCAAGGCAGGACAAAAACAAGCAAGGUGGCAACCCUAGUUGUCCAUCGCUCAUGCGUAUGAUUCAUUGGUGCCACUAGGCAUAACAGCCAGGAAUCCACCAUAAUGAUAGAGAUGUUUUUCAUCUAUUGAUUUUGCGAUACAAGUGCCAAGCUAGGCAUGCAAGUCAGUCAAGGAAAGAUGUGUUGUUACCAUUAGUCAUAGGGAGACAGCCUCUAUGAGAAGAAGGCCAACGGGUUGCAAAUGGAGAAGUGUACAGAGAAUACAUCAUAAGAUCGACGGAGGAAGGACCACCUCUUUGCCUAGCGCAAUGGUGUGCUGAUCUGUGACUGGGGCCCCUAGGUGCUACUGCACUACACCACCACCACCUUCUCUCUACGGCAUGUGAAAAUUCGUCUCCAGCUUUCAGCAGCAAUAAUGCAUGCAGUCAUCGCAAACAA